Molecule: ribosomal RNA, 289 nt
Filed under: uncultured bacterium
Lineage: Bacteria
Description: partial 16S ribosomal RNA
Rfam family: Bacterial small subunit ribosomal RNA
Source: RNAcentral
AACGAACGCUGGCGGCACGCCUAACACAUGCAAGUCGAACGCGGACGGGACUUCGGUCCUUAUUAGAGUGGCGCACGGGUGAGUAACACGUGGGAAUAUACCCUUUUGUACGGAACAACCAUUGGAAACGGUGGCUAAUACCGUAUACGCCCUACGGGGGAAAGAUUUAUCGCAAAAGGAUUAGCCCGCGCUAGAUUAGUUAGUUGGUGAGGUAAGAGCUCACCAAGGCUACGAUCUAUAGCUGGUUUGAGAGGAUGAUCAGCCACACUGGGACUGAGACACGGCCCAG